RNAcentral lists this long non-coding RNA (398 nucleotides) under Nicotiana benthamiana. RNAcentral's name for it is "long non-coding RNA (NBEN_LNC015597)". The record is from RNAcentral. Lineage: Eukaryota; Viridiplantae; Streptophyta; Magnoliopsida; Solanales; Solanaceae.
UUUUAAAAAGGAACUUAGGGGAAUCGUUUGAAAACCUUAAAACAAACACAGAUCUAGAGGAAAAAAAAAAAGAAAACAUCAAAAGGCUAGGGUUUCAGAAGAACCCUAGAAGCAAGAAAGGCCGGUAAAACGGUCUGCUCUGAGUCGAAUGAGUCAGAAAUGGACUCAUGGGGCUAGGAUAUGUCGGAGCCAAGCCGGAGAUGGCCGCAGAACUUGAAUCGGUGAAGAUCUGAGCAAAGUCCUUCAAGGUCGGACAUUGAGUCUUUAAGUAACAGGGGUAUGAGGGCACAUGGAGGUGAGUACAGGCUGCUCAGGGCUUGGGACACCAUUGAUUCCAGUGAGAAUGAGACGAAAGUAGGCAGAAUAGGGUUAGGGUUUCUAAGAGCUAGAGAGAGUUG